RNAcentral lists this ribosomal RNA (820 nucleotides) under Candida tropicalis. RNAcentral describes it as "LSU rRNA". It matches the Rfam family "Eukaryotic large subunit ribosomal RNA", at positions 82 to 921 of the family's 3401-position model. Lineage: Eukaryota; Fungi; Ascomycota; Pichiomycetes; Serinales; Debaryomycetaceae. The record is from RNAcentral.
AGUAGCGGCGAGUGAAGCGGCAAAAGCUCAAAUUUGAAAUCUGGCUCUUUCAGAGUCCGAGUUGUAAUUUGAAGAAGGUAUCUUUGGGUCUGGCUCUUGUCUAUGUUUCUUGGAACAGAACGUCACAGAGGGUGAGAAUCCCGUGCGAUGAGAUGAUCCAGGCCUAUGUAAAGUUCCUUCGAAGAGUCGAGUUGUUUGGGAAUGCAGCUCUAAGUGGGUGGUAAAUUCCAUCUAAAGCUAAAUAUUGGCGAGAGACCGAUAGCGAACAAGUACAGUGAUGGAAAGAUGAAAAGAACUUUGAAAAGAGAGUGAAAAAGUACGUGAAAUUGUUGAAAGGGAAGGGCUUGAGAUCAGACUUGGUAUUUUGUAUGUUACUUCUUCGGGGGUGGCCUCUACAGUUUAUCGGGCCAGCAUCAGUUUGGGCGGUAGGAGAAUUGCGUUGGAAUGUGGCACGGCUUCGGUUGUGUGUUAUAGCCUUCGUCGAUACUGCCAGCCUAGACUGAGGACUGCGGUUUAUACCUAGGAUGUUGGCAUAAUGAUCUUAAGUCGCCCGUCUUGAAACACGGACCAAGGAGUCUAACGUCUAUGCGAGUGUUUGGGUGUAAAACCCGUACGCGUAAUGAAAGUGAACGUAGGUGGGGGCCCGUAUGGGUGCACCAUCGACCGAUCCUGAUGUCUUCGGAUGGAUUUGAGUAAGAGCAUAGCUGUUGGGACCCGAAAGAUGGUGAACUAUGCCUGAAUAGGGUGAAGCCAGAGGAAACUCUGGUGGAGGCUCGUAGCGGUUCUGACGUGCAAAUCGAUCGUCGAAUUUGGGUAUAGG